RNAcentral lists this ribosomal RNA (490 nucleotides) under uncultured Lachnospiraceae bacterium. RNAcentral describes it as "bacterial SSU rRNA". It matches the Rfam family "Bacterial small subunit ribosomal RNA", at positions 156 to 664 of the family's 1533-position model. The record is from RNAcentral. Lineage: Bacteria; Bacillati; Bacillota; Clostridia; Lachnospirales; Lachnospiraceae.
AUGACUGCUAAUACCGCAUAAGACCACAGCACCGCAUGGUGCGGGGGUAAAAACUCCGGUGGUAUGAGAUGGACCCGCGUCUGAUUAGCUAGUUGGUAAGGUAAAGGCUCACCUAGGCGACGAUCCCUAGCUGGUCUGAGAGGAUGACCGGCCACAUUGGGACUGAGACACGGCCCAAACUCCUACGGGAGGCAGCAGUGGGGAAUAUUGCACAAUGGGGGAAACCCUGAUGCAGCGACGCCGCGUGAGCGAAGAAGUAUUUCGGUAUGUAAAGCUCUAUCAGCAGGGAAGAAAAUGACGGUACCUGACUAAGAAGCACCGGCUAAAUACGUGCCAGCAGCCGCGGUAAUACGUAUGGUGCAAGCGUUAUCCGGAUUUACUGGGUGUAAAGGGAGCGUAGACGGAUGGGCAAGUCUGAUGUGAAAACCCGGGGCUCAACCCCGGGACUGCAUUGGAAACUGUUCAUCUAGAGUGCUGGAGAGGUAAGUGG